This 87-nucleotide transfer RNA is filed under the name Kapaibacterium sp. (SeqCode). RNAcentral's name for it is "tRNA-Ser". It matches the Rfam family "tRNA". Rfam says of the family: Transfer RNA (tRNA) molecules are approximately 80 nucleotides in length. Their secondary structure includes four short double-helical elements and three loops (D, anti-codon, and T loops). Lineage: Bacteria; Pseudomonadati; Bacteroidota; Eximiradiia; Eximiradiales; Kapaibacteriaceae (SeqCode). The record is from RNAcentral.
GGAAGGGUGCAAGAGUGGUUGAAUUGGCACGCCUGGAAAGCGUGUGUAUCCGAAAGGGUACCGAGGGUUCGAAUCCCUCUCCUUCCG